This 670-nucleotide ribosomal RNA is filed under the name Mesobacillus jeotgali. RNAcentral's name for it is "Bacillus jeotgali partial 16S ribosomal RNA". The stretch from base 1 to 547 matches the Rfam family "Bacterial small subunit ribosomal RNA", at positions 551 to 1533 of the family's 1533-position model. The record is from RNAcentral. Lineage: Bacteria; Bacillati; Bacillota; Bacilli; Caryophanales; Bacillaceae.
AUAUUGGGCGUAAGCGCGCGCAGGCGGUUCCUUAGUCUGAUGUGAAAGCCCCCGGCUCAACCGGGGAGGGUCAUUGGAACUGGGGAACUUGAGUGCAGAAGAGGAGAGCGGAAUUCCACGUGUAGCGGUGAAUGCGUAGAGAUGUGGAGGACACCAGUGGCGAAGGCGGCUCUCUGGUCUGUAACUGACGCUGAGGGCGCGAAAGCGUGGGGGAGCGAAACAGGAUUAGAUACCCUGGGUAGUCCCACGCCCGUAAAACGAUGGAUGUGCUUAGGUGUGUUAGAAGGGUGUUUCCGCCCUUUAUAGUGCGUGCACAGCAAACAGCAUUUAAACCACUCCCCCCCCUGGGGAGAUACGGCCCCAAAGGGCUUACCCCCAAGGAUAUUUCCGGCCCCCCCACAACGGGGGAAGAUGGGGGUUUUAUUCUACACACCGCAAAAACUCUCGGGUGUGUGACACUCUCUAUACACCAAGAGAGGUGUCUCUCUCUGGGAGAAAAAGAAGGGAGUGGUCUCACCCCGGGGGGGAGAGGGGGUUUACCCCAGGGGCUCCCCUCUAUUCUGGUGCGCCUAUAUAUAGUACUUAAGGGCAGCGUCGUGCGACGGCAAGAAGAGUGAUGAUACCAUCACAUUUUUUUUCGUCUCUUUUUUUAUUCCGGACGCGUGUUUGU